Non-coding RNA from Kogia breviceps (pygmy sperm whale), 1232 nucleotides. NCBI's taxonomy places the organism in Eukaryota, Metazoa, Chordata, Mammalia, Artiodactyla, Physeteridae. The record is from RefSeq and is a predicted model, not a curated record.
UGCCAAAGCAAGAGCAGCAAGUAGGCAGCGUUAGCGGAUGGCCAGGCCCCCUGAUCCGGCCUUUCCUGCCAUCUUCCUCUCCUCCACAGGAACCUCCUUCCACUCCAGCCAAACCGCACUUUUCACUCUCCCCUAGACAGCUCUAGGAGUCAUCCGUUCCCUCUGCAUCCAGCGCCUGCCUAGCACAAUCUCUUGCCUAAGACCUGGCAAUGACCUCCUAACUGGCCCCCUUUCUCCGCUCCUGCCCCUCUGCCGUCCAUUUCCAGCACAGCAGCCAACAGCAACGACCAUCCCUGCAAAUCUCGACUGCUACUGAGUACCAGGUGCCCUUCCAGACACUCGGCACAUCCUGGGGAGCAAAAUGGAUGCCUGUCCUUGAGGUGCUUUUAUUCCAGCAGGAGAGAGAUGGAUGAUAAACAAUGAAGGUAACGGGUCUUAAAAUUGCCUCGGACAGUAGACAGUGAUACACACCAAGGAAAGAAAAGUGGGAGCAGGUGUUUACUCUAUGCCUAGCACUGUCCUGGGCGCCGGGGCACCGUGGAGAACAAGAUUGACAGGGUCCCUGUGCUAAGGGAGACAGACCAUAAACACAAAGCAAAUAGAGAAGAUAACUUCGGGUGAUGAUAUGAGCUGCAAAGAAGAUGAAACAGGGCAGCGUGGCUGCGAGGGCUGGGGAUGGCCAGGGAGGCCUCAUCCCGGGCGUGGCUUCUGAGCUGAGAGGGGACCAGCUGUCUGGGGAUAAGGGAAAAAGAGCUCCAGGCAGCUGAAGGCUAUUUUGCGUCAAUAAAAACGAAAUCAUCACCAUUGUCAUCAUCAUCAUCUAAUGGGGAAUGAAGGCAGAAGGCACAGAAGGGCCUCUGGGAUAGAGUUGCGAAGAGAUUUACAUGGAGAGUGACAAAGAAACAAAGCCGAGGGACGUUCCGACAUGGAUAAGUUCAAGAUGGACCCAGUUAAAUCAAGCAAAGUUGUCAGUGAAAUCAGAGAGCAAGUUGCAGUUUCAGGAGUGCCCGACACGCUCCAUAAUGGCGGCUGGUCUAAGAGGCGAUUACAUCCAAGCUGGUCCCCUCUCCAGACCUAGGCUAGGAUUCGUUACAGAAGAUGGAUCACCUCACACACCUUUGGAGAUAGGAGGCAGAAUUCCCCCAAAUAAGAGAUGGUCUGAAUCCUCAUGGGGCCCCACCAUUAAACAUCUGCCCCAACACUCCAUUCUCUCUGCUUACAAGAUGUAAAUC